This 200-nucleotide unclassified non-coding RNA is filed under the name Agaricales sp. Its description in RNAcentral is "partial internal transcribed spacer 2". Lineage: Eukaryota; Fungi; Basidiomycota; Agaricomycetes; Agaricales. The record is from RNAcentral.
UUAAGUUCAGCGGGUAAUCCCACCUGAUUUGAGGUCAAACAGUUCAAAGUUGUCCAAUAAGACUUGGACGGUUUGAAGGCAGCUACACUUAACAUCUUCACUUAUAGGCGUAGAUAAUUAUCACACCAAAGUGGAAGAACAGUAACCACUAAUGCAUUUAAGGAGAGCUGAACUAAUAAAAGCCAGCAAAAGACUCCCAU